This 301-nucleotide ribosomal RNA is filed under the name uncultured bacterium. RNAcentral describes it as "partial 16S ribosomal RNA". It matches the Rfam family "Bacterial small subunit ribosomal RNA", at positions 509 to 807 of the family's 1533-position model. The record is from RNAcentral.
CAGCAGCCGCGGGAAAACGGAGGGUGCAAGCGUUAAUCGGAAUUACUGGGCGUAAAGCGUGCGUAGGCGGUUCGUUAAGUCUGUUGUGAAAGCCCCGGGCUCAACCUGGGAAUGGCAAUGGAUACUGGCGAGCUAGAGUGUGUCAGAGGAUGGUGGAAUUCCCGGUGUAGCGGUGAAGUGCGCAGAGAUCGGGAGGAACAUCAGUGGCGAAGGCGGCCAUCUGGGACAACACUGACGCUGAGGCACGAAAGCGUGGGGAGCAAACAGGAUUAGAUACCCCAGUAGUCCCUGUCUCUUAUAC